GUAUCCGUAGCUCAAUCGGAUAGAGUGUUGGCUUCCGACGCCAAAGGUUGUGGGUUCAAUUCCCGCCGGAUACGCCA
RNAcentral lists this transfer RNA (77 nucleotides) under Alphaproteobacteria bacterium. RNAcentral's name for it is "tRNA-Arg". It matches the Rfam family "tRNA". From Rfam's summary of the family: Transfer RNA (tRNA) molecules are approximately 80 nucleotides in length. Their secondary structure includes four short double-helical elements and three loops (D, anti-codon, and T loops). The record is from RNAcentral. Lineage: Bacteria; Pseudomonadati; Pseudomonadota; Alphaproteobacteria.